AGAGUUUGAUCAUGGCUCAGGACGAACGCUGGCGGCGUGCUUAACACAUGCAAGUCGAGCGAGACCCCUUCUUCGGGAGGGUGUUCUAGCGGCGAACGGGUGAGUAACACGUGGGCAACCUGCCCUCAGCUCUGGGAUAACUCCAAGAAAUUGGGGCUAAUACCGGAUAUGACUGCUGACCGCAUGGUCUGGUGGGGGAAAGCUUUUGCGGUGUGGGAUGGGCCCGCGGCCUAUCAGCUUGUUGGUGGGGUGAUGGCCUACCAAGGCGACGACGGGUAGCCGGCCUGAGAGGGUGUCCGGCCACACUGGGACUGAGAUACGGCCCAGACUCCUACGGGAGGCAGCAGUGGGGAAUAUUGCACAAUGGGCGCAAGCCUGAUGCAGCGACGCCGCGUGAGGGAUGACGGCCUUCGGGUUGUAAACCUCUUUCAGUACAGACGAAGCGUGAGUGACGGUAUGUACAGAAGAAGCACCGGCCAACUACGUGCCAGCAGCGGCGGUAAUAC
This 506-nucleotide ribosomal RNA is filed under the name uncultured bacterium. RNAcentral's name for it is "bacterial SSU rRNA". It matches the Rfam family "Bacterial small subunit ribosomal RNA", at positions 8 to 526 of the family's 1533-position model. The record is from RNAcentral.